AUACUUACCUGGCAGGCUGGUUUUCCCAGGGUUAGGCUUAUCCAUUGCACUCUGGAUGUGCUGACACCCAUGAUUUCCCCAAAUGUGGGUAACUCGAUUGCAAACCUUGUGGUAGUGGGGGACUACAUUCUUGCUCUUCCAAU
Molecule: small nuclear RNA, 143 nt
Filed under: Carlito syrichta (Philippine tarsier)
Lineage: Eukaryota; Metazoa; Chordata; Mammalia; Primates; Tarsiidae
Description: U1 spliceosomal RNA (ENSTSYG00000022850.2)
Rfam family: U1 spliceosomal RNA
About the family: U1 is a small nuclear RNA (snRNA) component of the spliceosome (involved in pre-mRNA splicing). Its 5' end forms complementary base pairs with the 5' splice junction, thus defining the 5' donor site of an intron. There are significant differences in sequence and secondary structure between metazoan and yeast U1 snRNAs, the latter being much longer (568 nucleotides as compared to 164 nucleotides in human).
Source: Rfam by way of RNAcentral